Molecule: long non-coding RNA, 176 nt
Organism: Pipistrellus kuhlii (Kuhl's pipistrelle)
Lineage: Eukaryota; Metazoa; Chordata; Mammalia; Chiroptera; Vespertilionidae
Exons: 3
Source: RefSeq, a predicted model, not a curated record
CUUGCACAAAUUUCGUGCAUCGGGCCUCUAGUAAUGAAUGAAGAGAGGGAGGGAGAGAGGGAGGGAGGGAGUUGCUUGAAUAGCCAGACAGCCCUGUAAAGGGAAAGUAAAUCCUCCUUUAGACGACUAUCGAUCCGCAGGCCCUCCCUUCCCACCGGCAUGCUCCUGCUCUUCAC